Molecule: transfer RNA, 73 nt
Filed under: Streptococcus pneumoniae PCS70012
Lineage: Bacteria; Bacillati; Bacillota; Bacilli; Lactobacillales; Streptococcaceae
Description: tRNA-Val
Rfam family: tRNA
About the family: Transfer RNA (tRNA) molecules are approximately 80 nucleotides in length. Their secondary structure includes four short double-helical elements and three loops (D, anti-codon, and T loops). Further hydrogen bonds mediate the characteristic L-shaped molecular structure. tRNAs have two regions of fundamental functional importance: the anti-codon, which is responsible for specific mRNA codon recognition, and the 3' end, to which the tRNAs corresponding amino acid is attached (by aminoacyl-tRNA synthetases). tRNAs cope with the degeneracy of the genetic code in two manners: having more than one tRNA (with a specific anti-codon) for a particular amino acid; and 'wobble' base-pairing, i.e. permitting non-standard base-pairing at the 3rd anti-codon position.
Source: RNAcentral
CUCCUUGUAGCUCAAUGGAUAGAGCACCCCUCUAACUAAGGGCAGGUUACGGGUUCGAAUCCCGUCAAGGGUU